AUGGCGAGGUGGCCGCCGGCGAUGCUGCUGGUACUGGCAGUGGCGCUGGUGGCGGCGGGCACCGAAACCGGCGAGUGCAUCCAUGAGCUGGUGCCCUACGAGGGUGGCUUCACGUCGGGGAAUUUCGUCGUCGUUGACCAUGACAUCUUCUGGAGCUCCGACUGCCCAGACCCCGGCAUCGACUUCACGGUAACUUCACGAGGCGGUAACACUGUAUAUACGUUGAAGGGAAAAUCUGGUGAUAAAUUCGAGUUUAAUGCUCCAAGGGGUGGAACGUACAAGUUUUGUUUCCAUAGUCCAUAUGGAGCACCUAAAACUGUUUCUUUCUACGUUCAUGAUGGUCGCAAUCUUGUUCUGGAGGAGGCCCUGAAGGGGGGAGCCUUCAAGAAGAGGUAUGAUGAGUGGAUGGCUAGGUAUCACCGCACAUACAAGGAGGAAGCCAUGAAGAAGAGGUUCGAGGAGUGGAUGGCCAAGUACCGUCGCACCUACAAGGAUGAUGAGGAGAAGGCGCGGCGCUAUGAGCUAUUCAAGGACUGUGCCAAGAUGGUUGAUAAGCUUAAUGUGUUUUCGGGUGGGGCGACCACAAACAACUUCUGCGACUAUUCUGAGGAUGAGAGGCAAGCCAGCUUAGGGGCCGAGUAA
Molecule: ribosomal RNA, 642 nt
Filed under: Triticum aestivum (bread wheat)
Lineage: Eukaryota; Viridiplantae; Streptophyta; Magnoliopsida; Poales; Poaceae
Description: partial small subunit ribosomal RNA
Source: RNAcentral